Arachis duranensis is the source of this 104-nucleotide small nucleolar RNA. Lineage: Eukaryota; Viridiplantae; Streptophyta; Magnoliopsida; Fabales; Fabaceae. The record is from RefSeq and is a predicted model, not a curated record.
AUGUCAGGAGGGCAUCUCCUAAUUAUCUGCUUGUAUCUCUUCCAAGCUUCAUAGAGGGAUUCUCUAUCUUUCUGUCUGAAGGUCUGGACAUCCACUCUGAGCUU